UGGGGAAUCUUGGACAAUGGGGGCAACCCUGAUCCAGCGGCGCCGCGUGGGUGGUAAGGCCUUCGGGUUGUAAAGCCCUUUCACCGGGGAAGAUGAUGACAUUACCCGGAGAGGAAGCACCGGCUAACUCUGUGCCAGCAGCCGCGGUAAUACAGAGGGUGCAAACGUUGUUCGGAAUUACUGGGCGUAAAGCGCGUGUAGGCGGUUUGUUAAGUCGACUGUGAAAGCCCAUGGCUCAACCAUGGAAGUGCAGUCGAUACUGGCAGACUGGAGUCCCGGAGAGGGUGGUGGAAUUCCCAGUGUAGAGGUGAAAUUCGUAGAUAUUGGGAGGAACACCGGUGGCGAAGGCGACCACCUGGACGGGUACGGACGCUGAGACGCGAAAGCGUGGGGAGCAAACAGG
Molecule: ribosomal RNA, 403 nt
Filed under: uncultured prokaryote
Description: bacterial SSU rRNA
Rfam family: Bacterial small subunit ribosomal RNA
Source: RNAcentral